AUGGCGCUUCGCUGUUCCCUGCCCGCGACCUGUUCGAUGUUUUGCCCCAAACGGCCAGAGCACCCCAGUUGGCACGCGCUCCCUCCGCGCUUCGUCGUCAGCUUCGGCUCUUGCCCGCGGUCCAGGCCGAGCCUGGGACCCGUGCUCGCCGCCCGCGCCUGGGCACUGCGUGCGAGCGACCCCAAGGCUGGCCGGCUGGUGAUCGGCGGCGGGCCGCGCAGCGCCGACCCCGACUCCGACUCCGAAGACGACGACGAAGGCCCCGUGCGGAUGACGGACCAGGAGCGGAGGACGCUGCGGAGGAAGAUACGGGAGAUGAUGGACCGGAUGCCGGAGACGCGGGAGCUGACUGACCCGGAGGAGAAGAAGGCCAAGAUGAGGGAGCUGCUGACCAAGUACGAGCUGGUUGUCGAGGAGGAGGACCCGGAGUGGCCCGAGGACGCCCAGGACGGUAUGGGCUUCGGCCUGGACCAGUUCUUCGACAAGAUCACCAUCAAGCCUGAGAAGAGGGAUGACGCCGACGACGAUGAUGGGGUGGAUGAUGGCAAGAAGGAGGUGGUCUGGGAGGAUGACAACUACAUCAAGCCGGUCAGGGAUGUCAAGACAAAGGAUUGGGACGACACCGUGUUCACGGACUUCGGCCCGUUGAUUGUGCUCGUGCAUAACCGGUACAAGAGACUUCAGGACAACGAGAUGGCAAGAACUGAGCUCGUAAAGGCAAUCGAGACGUUUUGGGAACACGAUCUGCCUUCACCAAGAUGUGUUGCGGUCGAUGCCUGCGCGGAGCCAGACCUCGUGGCCGCUCUGAAGGUGUCCGGUUUCCCUGAGUUGCUCUUCACCAACGCAGGGAAGAUACUGCACCGAGAGAAAGCUGUCCGGUCGGCCGAGGUGUUGGCGAGGAUGAUAGCCUUCUUUUACUACAAGGCCGCGAGACCACCUUGCUUGAGCGAAACAGACGGCCAGGGGCAAGAGAAGGUCCCUCUGAUGUCGUGA
This 993-nucleotide ribosomal RNA is filed under the name Triticum aestivum (bread wheat). RNAcentral's name for it is "partial small subunit ribosomal RNA". Lineage: Eukaryota; Viridiplantae; Streptophyta; Magnoliopsida; Poales; Poaceae. The record is from RNAcentral.